This 495-nucleotide ribosomal RNA is filed under the name uncultured bacterium. RNAcentral describes it as "partial 16S ribosomal RNA". It matches the Rfam family "Bacterial small subunit ribosomal RNA", at positions 28 to 507 of the family's 1533-position model. The record is from RNAcentral.
GACGAACGCUGGCGGCGUGCCUAAUACAUGCAAGUCGAACGCUGAAGGAGGAGCUUGCUCUUCUGGAUGAGUUGCGAACGGGUGAGUAACGCGUAGGUAACCUGCCUGGUAGCGGGGGAUAACUAUUGGAAACGAUAGCUAAUACCGCAUAACAGUAGAUGUUGCAUGACAUUUGCUUAAAAGGUGCAAUUGCACCACUACCAGAUGGACCUGCGUUGUAUUAGCUAGUUGGUGGGGUAACGGCUCACCAAGGCGACGAUACAUAGCCGACCUGAGAGGGUGAUCGGCCACACUGGGACUGAGACACGGCCCAGACUCCUACGGGAGGCAGCAGUAGGGAAUCUUCGGCAAUGGACGGAAGUCUGACCGAGCAACGCCGCGUGAGUGAAGAAGGGUUUCGGAUCGUAAAGCUCUGUUGUAAGAGAAGAACGAGUGUGAGAGUGGAAAGUUCACACUGUGACGGUAUCUUACCAGAAAGGGACGGCUAACUACGUG